GCUGGCUCAACCUGGAAAAAUGGCUUUUUUCGCACUCGUAAUGCGCAGGCCGCGGGUUCGAAUCCCGCCGUCAGCUCCA
RNAcentral lists this transfer RNA (79 nucleotides) under Clostridia bacterium. RNAcentral's name for it is "tRNA-Thr". The stretch from base 13 to 68 matches the Rfam family "tRNA", at positions 8 to 63 of the family's 71-position model. From Rfam's summary of the family: Transfer RNA (tRNA) molecules are approximately 80 nucleotides in length. Their secondary structure includes four short double-helical elements and three loops (D, anti-codon, and T loops). The record is from RNAcentral. Lineage: Bacteria; Bacillati; Bacillota; Clostridia.